This 73-nucleotide transfer RNA is filed under the name Cavia porcellus (domestic guinea pig). It matches the Rfam family "tRNA". Rfam says of the family: Transfer RNA (tRNA) molecules are approximately 80 nucleotides in length. Their secondary structure includes four short double-helical elements and three loops (D, anti-codon, and T loops). Lineage: Eukaryota; Metazoa; Chordata; Mammalia; Rodentia; Caviidae. The record is from Rfam by way of RNAcentral.
AUGGAUUUAGCUUAGUGGCAUGAGUGCCUGCCUUGCAAGCAUGUGGUCAUGAGUUCAAUCCCCAGUACCCAUU